This is a non-coding RNA of Toxotes jaculatrix (banded archerfish), 382 nucleotides long. RefSeq annotates it as small Cajal body-specific RNA 2. Lineage: Eukaryota; Metazoa; Chordata; Actinopteri; Toxotidae. The transcript has a single exon. The record is from RefSeq and is a predicted model, not a curated record.
GUCCUCCAUAGUUUGAAUGGCUUGUGUUUGUGUGGUGUGGAUGUGUUUGUGAGAGAGCGUUUGGCGAGUGCUUGGAUGAGUGAAUUUGGAGUGUUUGUUAGUGUGAAUGUUAGUGUGUAUUUCUUAAAAAAAAAAAACCUACACAGUGAUCUUAUUUGAUCCGGUCUGAGUUCGGCUCUGCUCUGAUCGGAGAUGAUAGGAAAAGCGCUCGCGAGCCUCCGUGGCGAUGAGCAGCAGGCGAGAUUUUAAGCUCCAGGGCCUUCCACUGCUUUAUGUUGUGGUAAGAGGUGAUGAAUUGAUCAGAUAUACUAGUCCUGGGUGAGUUUGAGGUUCACCUCAAGCCUCACGGUGGACAAUGAGUAAAGAGGCGAUUCUGAUCUAA